UACGUAGGGGGCAAGCGUUGUCCGGAAUUAUUGGGCGUAAAGAGCGUGUAGGCGGUCCGGUAAGUCGGCUGUGAAAGUCAAGGGCUCAACCCUUGAAUGCCGGUUGAUACUGUCGGGCUAGAGUCCGGAAGAGGCAAGUGGAAUUCCCGGUGUAGCGGUGAAAUGCGCAGAUAUCGGGAGGAACACCUAUGGCGAAGGCAGCUUGCUGGGACGGUACUGACGCUGAGACGCGAAAGCGUGGGGAGCAAACAGG
RNAcentral lists this ribosomal RNA (253 nucleotides) under uncultured bacterium. Its description in RNAcentral is "partial 16S ribosomal RNA". It matches the Rfam family "Bacterial small subunit ribosomal RNA", at positions 524 to 776 of the family's 1533-position model. The record is from RNAcentral.